GAGAGAGGUGGUGACGUCACGAUGAGAACUGCCUUGUAGGGACGAGGGACCCUCCCUCCUCCUCUGCUCAUGCUCACCAGAACCUCCAGCUGGUGAACCUCCCAGCACAGCCCUGACUCCACCAUGGACCUCAGGCUUCUCUGCUGUGUGACCCUCUGUCUCCUGGGGGAAGGUCACGCAGGAGCCGGAGUCACUCAGUUCCCCAGGCACAGGGUCACAAGGAAGGGCAAGAAUGUAACUCUCAGCUGUGAUCCAAUUUCUGGUCAUGUUGGCCUUUAUUGGUACCAACAGACCGUGGGGCAAGGCCCGGAGUUCUUGGUUUACUUCCAAAACCGUGACCCACUGGACAAAUCAGGGAUGACCAAUAAUCGGUUCUCUGCCGAGAGGGACGAGGGGACCCGCUCCACUCUGCAGAUCCAGCGUGCGGAGCAGGGGGACUCGGCGGUGUACCUCUGUGCCAGCAGUCUCAGCACAGUGGGGCACAGUCGCCUCCUUCCUCUUCACAAACCUCAGAUUCCUCUCUCCUUGCCGCAGCUGGAGCCCCUACACCGGCUGCUCUCUGUUCUUCAUUCCCCGAUGGAAAGAAGUAGAUUUGGACAUCAGCUGUCCUUUGGGUAG
Ailuropoda melanoleuca (giant panda) is the source of this 618-nucleotide non-coding RNA. The record is from the annotation of a RefSeq genome assembly. Lineage: Eukaryota; Metazoa; Chordata; Mammalia; Carnivora; Ursidae.